This 358-nucleotide long non-coding RNA is filed under the name Sinocyclocheilus grahami. RNAcentral describes it as "lncRNA (ENSSGRG00000003015.1)". Lineage: Eukaryota; Metazoa; Chordata; Actinopteri; Cypriniformes; Cyprinidae. The record is from RNAcentral.
GUCAAUGUGAUGUCAAAACUAGUGCAGUUUCUCAUUUUCAGAUGUAAAGACUCUUCGAAUUCUGGGUAAUGGCAAAGUGAUGGAAGAUGACACUGUCAGCCUGAACUGCUCUGUUGAGAGUCACCCACCAUCAUCUGAUCCUGUAUGGAGUUUCAAUGGAACCACAGAUAUAGUCAUGAACCAAACAUCUGCUGAAUCUUUCACGAUAACCAAUGUGAGAAAGGAGCAUGCUGGGGUUUACGGCUGUAUGAGGACAUAUAGAAACAAGAUACUGAAUGCAUCCAUCACUGUCGUUGUCAUUCGUGAUACAAAUGAAUCGAAAGUGAACGAGUCCUUCAGUCCUGGAAGUGAAAACAUG